RNAcentral lists this ribosomal RNA (419 nucleotides) under uncultured bacterium. RNAcentral's name for it is "bacterial SSU rRNA". It matches the Rfam family "Bacterial small subunit ribosomal RNA", at positions 359 to 776 of the family's 1533-position model. The record is from RNAcentral.
GAAUAUUGGGCAAUGGACGAGAGUCUGACCCAGCCAUGCCGCGUGCAGGAAGAAGGCCUAUUGGGUUGUAAACUGCUUUUAUCUGGGAAGAAAAGGCCCAUGCGUGGGACAUUGCCGGUACCAGAUGAAUAAGCACCGGCUAACGCCGUCCCAGCAGCCGCGGUAAUACGGAGGGUGCCAGCGUUGUCCGGAUUUAUUGGGUUUAAAGGGUGCGUAGGCGGCUAUUUAAGUCAGCGGUGAAAGACUCCUGCUCAACCGGAGCAGUGCCAUUGAUACUGGAUAGCUUGAGCGUUGGAGGGGUACAUGGAAUUGAUGGUGUAGCGGUGAAAUGCAUAGAUACCAUCAGGAACACCGAUAGCGAAGGCAUUGUACUGGCCAACAACUGACGCUGAGGCACGAAAGCAUGGGGAGCGAACAGG